AACUAAAAAGGGUAAAUGAAAUUUAUAAGUUUAAUAGAGAUUUUAUUUUUGUUUUAUAAAGUUUGCUAAUAAAAUAAAAGGUAGAAUAUAUAGUUUAAAAAUUAAGCUUUAAAUUAUAAAUGGAUUAUAAUCUAUAAAAUAUUAGAUAUAAAGUAGGAUUAGAUACCCUAUUAUACUAAUAAGAAAGUUUAAAAUACUUGAUUAAUAAACAGUUAUGAUCUUGAAAUUUAAAGAAUUUGGCGGUAUUUUAGUCUUAUUAAAGGAACUUGUUUAAUAAACGAUGUAACACGUAGAAUUUUUCUUCUUAUUGUAAAUUCAGUUUGUAUAUCGUCAUUAUUAAGAUAUUUUAUAAAUAUAUAUUUCGAGGUAAAAUAAUUAUUUAAAAUAUUAGAUCAAGGUGCAGCUUAUAAGGAAGUAAUAAAUGGGUUACAAUAAAAUAAAUUUAAGACGGAAAUAAAAUUGAAUAAUUUAUAUUGAAGGUGGAUUUAAGGGUAAUUAUAUUUUAAUAUGGUAUAUUGAUUAUAUAGCUCUAAAAUAUGUACAUAUUGCCCGUCACUCUCGCUUUUUAAUGU
This 572-nucleotide ribosomal RNA is filed under the name Eupasiphae serrata. Its description in RNAcentral is "partial 12S ribosomal RNA". The record is from RNAcentral. Lineage: Eukaryota; Metazoa; Arthropoda; Malacostraca; Decapoda; Pasiphaeidae.